AUGACCCGGGACCGCAUCCAACCUUCAACCACAAUGCCUCUUGUUGCCAUCCUAUUCAUACUUCUCAUCUCCGCCUUCCACACCCCAUGUUCUGCAGCAAGAAGCACGAUUUUAGCCGGUGAUCGCCUCACCGGCGAUGACAGGCUCGUCUCUCGCAAUGGCAAGUUCGUGCUCGGCUUCUUCCAACCAGGCAGUGAGUACUCCUCCCAACAGACUCCCGCUCACUGGUACAUAGGCUUAUGGUUUGGUAAGAUACCCAAGUUAACCCCAGUAUGGGUUGCAAAUAGGGACAGACCAAUUGUAAACCUUGAAAUGUCGGAGCUCACGAUCUCCGAUGAUGGUAACCUUGUCAUCUUAAAUAAAGACACCAAAUCGACAAUUUGGUCGACCCAUGCUAAUAUCACAGCCAAGAACACUACAGUUGUGCUCAUGGACAAUGGGAACCUCAUCUUAGGAGAUGCAUCUAACUCAUCCAACGUCAUAUGGCAGAGCUUUGAUUACCCUAUUGAUGGUCUGCUCCCUGGUGCAAAGCAAGGCGUGGAUAAGGUCACCGGUUUGAUCCGUCACCUUGUUUCCAAGAAGAGCUUGAUUGAUCCAGCUCCUGGCCGUUAUUGUGUGGAAUUAGAUACAACUGGUCCUGGCCAAUUCCUCUACAAACUAUGCAACUCGUCCAUAGUAUAUUACUCUAGUGGGGAAUGGAAUGGUCAUUACUUCAACUCGAUGCCAGAAAUGAAUGGAGCCAAUCUUUUUACAUUUAAAUUUGUCAACAAUGACAAAGAGGAGUAUUUCAUAAAAAAUGUUACAGAUGACAAGCUGAUAUCUGUUAGCCUUUUGGACAUUACUGGACAGGAAAAGCAACUCAUCUGGGUUGAAAGUUCACAAGAUUGGGUGACGGUCUUCACCCAGCCUAAAGAUCAAUGUGAUGUCUAUGCUACAUGUGGACCAUUCACAAUCUGCAACAGCAACACAGCCCAAGUGUGUGAUUGCUUGAAGGGCUUCUCAAUAAGGUCACCUAAGGAUUGGAAGGUAGUGGACCGAUCUGGCGGGUGCAUAAGAAAUGUGCCACUGGACUGCGGUGCCAGGAAUCAAAGCAGAAAUGCAACAACUGACAAGUUCUACCCCAUGACAAAGGUCAAACUGCCUGCAAUGCCCAUAGUUAUAGAAGCUGUUGGGAGCAUAGACCAUUGUGCACAAGCUUGCCUAGAUAAUUGCUCUUGCAUUGCAUAUUCCUACAGCAACAGAUGCUCCCUCUGGUAUGAUGACUUGCUUAACAUCAAACAAGGUGAUAUUGGAACUACUAGAAAUGAAGAGGUUCUCUACUUACGCAUCUCUGCCAAGGAUGCAGAAAGUUGGAGAAAUACAAAGAGAGGGAAGGGGGUUAUUUGGGCUACUACUGCUGCAAGUGCCGUUGCUUUGGUUUUGUUGGCAGUUGUCAUGUGGUUUCUGCUGAUAUGGAGGAGCAAAAGGAAGCACACUACCGGCAUGUACAAUAAUGCACAAGGUGGCAAUGGAAUUGUAGCUUUCAGAUACAUUGAUCUGCAACAUGCAACCAAAAAUUUCUCAGAGAAGCUAGGGGGAGGGAGCUUUGGAUCUGUAUUCAAGGGGUUACUAACUGACUCUACAGCUAUUGCGGUGAAAAGGCUUGAUGGUGUCCGUCAGGGAGAGAAGGAAUUCAGAGCCGAAGUGAGUUCAAUUGGAAUCAUCCAACACAUCAAUUUGGUUAAACUAAUUGGCUUUUGCUGCAAGGGCAGUAUGAGACUGCUUGUGUAUGAAUACAUGCCAAAUCUUUCCCUCGAUGUACAUCUCUUCCGCAGCAAUACAAAGUUACUAAGCUGGAGUGUCCGUUACCAAAUAGCCCUUGGAAUUGCAAGAGGAUUAGCAUACUUGCAUGAUAGUUGCAGGGAUUGUAUCAUACACUGUGAUAUCAAGCCACAGAACAUACUUCUUGACACCUCAUUUGUACCUAAAGUUGCAGAAUUUGGUAUGGCCAAAUUUCUAGGGAGGGAUUUUAGCAGCGUUUUGACUACAUUUAGAGGAACUAUAGGCUAUCUUGCACCUGAAUGGAUCAGUGGAGUGGCCAUUACACCAAAAGUGGAUGUCUACAGCUACGGUGUGAUGUUGCUUGAAAUAGUAUCAGGUCGUAGCAACAAUACAUGUAAGGAGAAUAGCAGCACUGGUGAUCAUUCGUCAUAUUUCCCGGUUCAAGUUGCAAGGAAACUUCCUAGCGGGGGACGUUGCGGGCUUAUUGGAUGA
Molecule: ribosomal RNA, 2253 nt
Filed under: Triticum aestivum (bread wheat)
Lineage: Eukaryota; Viridiplantae; Streptophyta; Magnoliopsida; Poales; Poaceae
Description: partial small subunit ribosomal RNA
Source: RNAcentral